UGGGGGAUAUUGGACAAUGGGGGAAACCCUGAUCCAGCGACGCCGCGUGAGUGAAGAAGUAUUUCGGUAUGUAAAGCUCUAUCAGCAGGGAAGAAAAUGACGGUACCUGACUAAGAAGCCCCGGCUAACUACGUGCCAGCAGCCGCGGUAAUACGUAGGGGGCAAGCGUUAUCCGGAUUUACUGGGUGUAAAGGGAGCGUAGACGGCGGAACAAGUCAGAAGUGAAAACCCGGGGCUCAACCCUGGGAGUGCUUUUGAAACUGUUUGGCUGGAGUGCAGGAGAGGUAAGCGGAAUUCCUAGUGUAGCGGUGAAAUGCGUAGAUAUUAGGAGGAACACCAGUGGCGAAGGCGGCUUACUGGACUGUAACUGACGUUGAGGCUCGAAAGCGUGGGGAGCAAACAGG
Molecule: ribosomal RNA, 404 nt
Filed under: uncultured bacterium
Lineage: Bacteria
Description: bacterial SSU rRNA
Rfam family: Bacterial small subunit ribosomal RNA
Source: RNAcentral